AUUGAACGCUGGCGGCAGGCCUAACACAUGCAAGUCGAACGGUAACAGGAAGCUUCUUCCUGCUUCCCUCGCCGGUGGCGGGCGUGUUGCUUAUGUCUCUGCCACUUCCUGAUGGAUAGCGUUCACUACUGGACACUGUUACUACUUCCGCAUAACGUCGCAAGGCCAGAGAUGUUCGCCUUUCGGCCUCUUGCCUUCGCCUAGGUCGGAUUAGCUAGUUGGUGGGGUAAAGGCAUACCCAGGCGACGAUCCGUAUCUGGUCUGAGAGGAUGAUCAGUCACACUGGAACUGAGACACGGUCCAGACUCCUACGGGAGGCAGCAGUGGGGAAUAUUGGACAAUGGGCGAAAGCCUGAUGCAGCCAUGCCGCGUGUGUGAAGAAGGCCUUCGGGUUGUAAAGUACUUUAAGCGGGGAGGAAGGGAAUAAAGUUAAUACCUUGGUGCAUUGACGUUACCAGCAGAAGAAGCACCGGCUAACUCCGUG
Molecule: ribosomal RNA, 484 nt
Filed under: uncultured bacterium
Lineage: Bacteria
Description: partial 16S ribosomal RNA
Rfam family: Bacterial small subunit ribosomal RNA
Source: RNAcentral